UCCAUUGUGCGCGCUCCGACGAUCGUCCU
This 29-nucleotide non-coding RNA is filed under the name Bombyx mori (domestic silkworm). Lineage: Eukaryota; Metazoa; Arthropoda; Insecta; Lepidoptera; Bombycidae. The record is from RNAcentral.